AGGGGUAAACCUGAGAAACCCGAAAGGUCGAAGGAAGAAAUUCAUUCGCGGUUUCGAUGCCGAAGUCGCGAGGUCGAGCGACGCGAGACGCGUUUACGCGCGUCGAGCGCGCCCUCUUCGCGUCGAAACGGCGACGAACGCGUGCACUUUUCUUCUGGUAGGACGUCGCGAUCCGUUGGGUGUCGGUCUACGGCGCGCGGUGGAGCCCGUGCGGUAGUUUUGCGCUACCGUCGGACCCGCGCGUAUUCCGGCCGGCUCGCUCGACGGUAUACGAAAGGUUAGGGGCCGCUCGUUUUACGGAGCGUUCGACUCUCGGCAAGCGCGUCAGUCGCGUCGGCAAUCGGACCCGGUGCCGAUUCCGACCGCUGGCGACUGUUGGCCGUUGAAGUUCUCGAACAGACCCCACGACCGAUCGGCGACGCUAUAGCUUUGGGUACUUUCAGGACCCGUCUUGAAACACGGACCAAGGAGUCUAGCAUGUGCGCGAGUCAUUGGGAAUCACUAAACCUAAAGGCGAAAUGAAAGUAAAGGUCUUCCUUGCGAAGACCGAGGGAAGACGGGCGGUUUGCCGUUAAAAGCGACCGUUCGGCAUUCCCGGGGCGUCUCGUUCUCAUCGCGAGAAGAGGCGCACCAAGAGCGUACACGCUGGGACCCGAAAGAUGGUGAACUAUGCCUGGUCAGGACGAAGUCAGGGGAAACCCUGAUGGAGGUCCGUAGCGAUUCU
Molecule: ribosomal RNA, 724 nt
Filed under: Orthotomicus laricis
Lineage: Eukaryota; Metazoa; Arthropoda; Insecta; Coleoptera; Curculionidae
Description: eukaryotic LSU rRNA
Rfam family: Eukaryotic large subunit ribosomal RNA
Source: RNAcentral